CGGGAUAUAGUAUAAUGGUAGUACGUGUGCUUUGGGAGCACAUAGCCUCGGUUCGAUUCCGAGUAUCCCGA
This 71-nucleotide transfer RNA is filed under the name Candidatus Terrybacteria bacterium CG10_big_fil_rev_8_21_14_0_10_41_10. RNAcentral's name for it is "tRNA-Pro". It matches the Rfam family "tRNA". From Rfam's summary of the family: Transfer RNA (tRNA) molecules are approximately 80 nucleotides in length. Their secondary structure includes four short double-helical elements and three loops (D, anti-codon, and T loops). Further hydrogen bonds mediate the characteristic L-shaped molecular structure. tRNAs have two regions of fundamental functional importance: the anti-codon, which is responsible for specific mRNA codon recognition, and the 3' end, to which the tRNAs corresponding amino acid is attached (by aminoacyl-tRNA synthetases). tRNAs cope with the degeneracy of the genetic code in two manners: having more than one tRNA (with a specific anti-codon) for a particular amino acid; and 'wobble' base-pairing, i.e. permitting non-standard base-pairing at the 3rd anti-codon position. The record is from RNAcentral. Lineage: Bacteria; Candidatus Terryibacteriota.